GAUGAACGCUGGCGGCGUGCCUAACACAUGCAAGUCGAGCGAUUCUCUUCGGAGAAGAGCGGCGGACGGGUGAGUAACGCGUGGGUAACCUGCCUUGUACAGGGGGAUAACAGUUGGAAACGACUGCUAAUACCGCAUAAGCGCACAGUACCGCAUGGUACGGUGUGAAAAACUCCGGUGGUACAAGAUGGACCCGCGUCUGAUUAGCUAGUUGGUGAGGUAACGGCCCACCAAGGCAACGAUCAGUAGCCGACUUGAGAGAGUGAUCGGCCACAUUGGGACUGAGACACGGCCCAAACUCCUACGGGAGGCAGCAGUAGGGAAUAUUGCACAAUGGGGGAAACCCUGAUGCAGCGACGCCGCGUGAAGGAUGAAGUAUUUCGGUAUGUAAACUUCUAUCAGCAAGGAAGAAAAUGACGGUACUUGACUAAGAAG
Molecule: ribosomal RNA, 435 nt
Filed under: uncultured bacterium
Lineage: Bacteria
Description: bacterial SSU rRNA
Rfam family: Bacterial small subunit ribosomal RNA
Source: RNAcentral